CACGCCGUAAACGAUGGGUACUAGGUGUGGGUAGUUCACUCUAUCCGUGCCGCAGCAAACGCAUUAAGUACCCCGCCUGGGGAGUACGGCCGCAAGGUUAAAACUCAAAGGAAUUGACGGGGGCCCGCACAAGCAGCGGAGCAUGUGGUUUAAUUCGAAGCAACGCGAAGAACCUUACCAGGGCUUGACAUCCUCGGACGACACUAGAGAUAGUGUUUUCUCUUCGGAGACUGAGAGACAGGUGG
This 245-nucleotide ribosomal RNA is filed under the name uncultured Eubacteriales bacterium. RNAcentral describes it as "uncultured Clostridiales bacterium partial 16S ribosomal RNA". It matches the Rfam family "Bacterial small subunit ribosomal RNA", at positions 796 to 1041 of the family's 1533-position model. The record is from RNAcentral. Lineage: Bacteria; Bacillati; Bacillota; Clostridia; Eubacteriales.